UACGUAGGGUGCGAGCGUUGUCCGGAAUUACUGGGCGUAAAGCGCGCGCAGGCGGUUGGUCGCAUCGGCGGUGAAAGCCCCCCGCUCAACGGGGGAGGGUCCGUCGAGAUGGGCCGACUGGAGGCAGGGAGAGGUCAGUGGAAUUCCGGGUGUAGUGGUGAAAUGCGUAGAGAUCCGGAGGAACACCAGUGGCGAAGGCGGCUGACUGGACCUGACCUGACGCUGAGGCGCGAAGGCGUGGGGAGCGAACGGG
RNAcentral lists this ribosomal RNA (253 nucleotides) under uncultured bacterium. RNAcentral describes it as "partial 16S ribosomal RNA". It matches the Rfam family "Bacterial small subunit ribosomal RNA", at positions 524 to 776 of the family's 1533-position model. The record is from RNAcentral.